UGGCUCAAUGGUAGAGCGUUCGACUCAAAUACCAAAGGUCGUGGGUUCGAAUCCCAC
RNAcentral lists this transfer RNA (57 nucleotides) under Schistocephalus solidus. It matches the Rfam family "tRNA", at positions 8 to 63 of the family's 71-position model. From Rfam's summary of the family: Transfer RNA (tRNA) molecules are approximately 80 nucleotides in length. Their secondary structure includes four short double-helical elements and three loops (D, anti-codon, and T loops). The record is from Rfam by way of RNAcentral. Lineage: Eukaryota; Metazoa; Platyhelminthes; Cestoda; Diphyllobothriidea; Diphyllobothriidae.